GCAGACACAUUCCAGCAAAUCAGCAGCAGACCCUCCCUCCCAGACCCUCCCACCUCCUGGACAGCAUCCAUUGUGAAGCUGCAUUCUUAGUGAGCUGUCCAGGAGGUGGGAGGGUCUGGGAAGGAGGGUUUGCUGCUGGUUGGCUGGAAUGUGUCUG
This 157-nucleotide microRNA precursor is filed under the name Pelobates cultripes (western spadefoot toad). The record is from RNAcentral. Lineage: Eukaryota; Metazoa; Chordata; Amphibia; Anura; Pelobatidae.